UACUAUAUAUAGGACCUUCCUCACACUGAAGAGGCACGAAAAACAGACCCUGAAAACCUCUGAAAAAUCCAACUCUCAAAUUUUCUACUUCCUCACUCUUUACAAAGUUUGGAGAACAUCUCUUUUGGAUUUUCUGGGUUCUUUAGCUGAGAUAUGACUUGACAAUGAAGCUGGUUUGAUUAUUAUUAUUGUUCCUUGCUGCUGAGUCCCUUGUUUUCCUGCUACCAUUAGCUGAUCUUUGAACAUAUUUUCUGGUUUUGCUUGUUGUAUCCAGGUACCCCUUUUGAAACCUUGGACUGCAAAGUGAACAUGAAGAUGUGUGUGUUUUGAGGCUGAUGCAAUCAGUCAUUUUUCAGUAAUUAGCUCUUAUGUUCUAUUAAUUCGUAUAUCUUUUCUCUUGUUAAUCAAUGUUAUGCUUUGCCUAUUAUUAAUAGAUAUAGAUCUGUAUUUGGUACAUAAAUUUUUUAUUGUAAUAUAUGAAAUUUUAGGACUUUAGCUUUUAUGUUAAGGAUCUCGUGGAAAAUGUUAAAUGUUCGAAUUUUAGCCAAGUGGAUAUACAAUGUGAUUGUGAGAAUUUGUCUAUGUAAUCUUUGGUUCUGGAACUAUGCUGGAGUCAUUAGAACAUUUGGUGUGAUGAGUACAUACAUUUGAGGAUUGGCUACCA
RNAcentral lists this long non-coding RNA (664 nucleotides) under Nicotiana tabacum (common tobacco). RNAcentral's name for it is "long non-coding RNA (NTAB_LNC005109)". Lineage: Eukaryota; Viridiplantae; Streptophyta; Magnoliopsida; Solanales; Solanaceae. The record is from RNAcentral.